This 643-nucleotide unclassified non-coding RNA is filed under the name Hevea brasiliensis (rubber tree). Lineage: Eukaryota; Viridiplantae; Streptophyta; Magnoliopsida; Malpighiales; Euphorbiaceae. The record is from RNAcentral.
UCUAUGAUGAAUGCCUACGGAAGUGAGUUCCUUUGAAUUCAUGGCGUUAUGAAGUAUUCAAUAACCUCUAGUUUGAGAUAUUUCCUGAUAAUCCUUAGUUUUUUAGCCUUGAUGUUUCAUUUGGAAGGUUUUGCUCGAAUAUAAUGAUUAUUUUGUGACGAUUGUUGGUGAUUUGUUUCUAAUGUAGUUUGAACAUUGGGGUCGGAUAAAGUUAUCCAGAAUGUGACAGGCUGCUAUUAAAUGGAAAUUGUAUAAUGAAAAACAUGAACAUGAAAAGGGGAAAAAAAUGACAAUCGGGUUUUUACAGAAAAGGUGAUCAAUAUGGGAUAGGUAUCUUAUUUUUACGUAUUUUGCAUGAAAUAUCAUGUGAUAUGCUGUUGCUUUUUUCUGUUUUGUCCACUUUUAUUUCCCUUUUCUAGUUUAGCAUGAUUUUUAUCAUAUAUUCAUAUUCUUUGAUGGUUUCUUCCGUUAUAUUCCUCUUGUUCUUCUGCUGUCAUAUGAAAAAUUUCCAUAUUUUUUAUUGGGUUUCCAAGUGGUUAAAGUUUUCCAUCAGUUACAUAGUCAAAUAACAUAUUACCAUGUGACUUUCUUGAAAUGCUUAGAAUUCAACUAGACAAUCCAUUAUAUAUAUAUAUAUAUAAUG